UAAGGAAUAUUGGACAAUGCCCGCAAGGGUGAUCCAGCCAUGCCGCGUGCAGGAAGACGGCCCUAUGGGUUGUAAACUGCUUUUACACCGGAGAAAACCCCCUUACGUGUAAGGGGCUGAUAGUAUGGUGAGAAUAAGCAUCGGCUAACUUCGUGCCAGCAGCCGCGGUAAGACGAAGGAUGCAAGCGUUAUCCGGAUUCAUUGGGUUUAAAGGGAGCGUAGGUGGCCUUAUAAGUCAGUGGUGAAAUCUCUGGGCUUAACCCAGAAAUUGCCAUUGAUACUGUAGGGCUUGAGUAUAGAUGCCGUUGGCGGAAUAUGACAUGUAGUGGUGAAAUACAUAGAGAUGUCAUAGAACACCGAUUGCGAAGGCAGCUAACGAAACUAUAACUGACACUGAGGCUCGAAAGUGUGGGGAUCAAACAGGAUUAGAUACCCUGGUAGUCCACACUGUAAACGAUGAUUACUCGCUGCUAGAGGGCAACUUUUAGUGGCUUAGCGAAAGCGAUAAGUAAUCCACCUGGGGAGUACGCCGGCAACGGUGA
This 542-nucleotide ribosomal RNA is filed under the name uncultured Bacteroidota bacterium. RNAcentral's name for it is "bacterial SSU rRNA". It matches the Rfam family "Bacterial small subunit ribosomal RNA", at positions 355 to 897 of the family's 1533-position model. Lineage: Bacteria; Pseudomonadati; Bacteroidota. The record is from RNAcentral.